This 250-nucleotide long non-coding RNA is filed under the name Carica papaya (papaya). RNAcentral's name for it is "long non-coding RNA (CPAP_LNC008913)". The record is from RNAcentral. Lineage: Eukaryota; Viridiplantae; Streptophyta; Magnoliopsida; Brassicales; Caricaceae.
GUCCUAUGUGCAAUUUCUCCUUUGAUAACAUUCAGCUUUCAGUAAUUUAUGCAGACCCUCCAUCCGUUUUGUACCUUUGUUGAUACCUUCUCGCUGUCUUGGUUUUCUAUCAUUGUUAUUCCCGUUUUCUUUGGUACUAUUUGCACUGGACUCACCCAUUUGCUAUAUGAGAUUGGGUAGAUGACUCCGACAUCUAGCAACUUCAAGAACUCCUUCUUCAUAACCUCCAUUAUCAAUGGGUUUAAAUGCC